GGGGAUGUAAUGGUUUCGACAGGAUUAUGCGAAACUAGAUUGCAAGUCGUAGGAAUACGAAAAAUUCAUAAAAUAUCUGGAAACAGAAACGCUUUAGCUUUUGCUUAGUUUAAGUGCAGAAGCAUUCUAAUAUAAUUUUUGUUUGCGAAAUUUUAUUAGAAUUCAUAUUUAGCAAACUAUAUUAUUUCAUUGUUUAGGUGAAGUAACGAAUAUUACUAAACUAGCUAUAUAUUUGUUUGUUAAUUAGCUUAUUAUAUAGUGAAAUUUAUUAAUUAACUAAGCUUGUAGUGGUCUAGUUAUCAGUAAUUUUGGACAGGAGUUCGAUUCUCCUCAUCUCCACCA
This 342-nucleotide transfer-messenger RNA is filed under the name Bacilli. RNAcentral's name for it is "RUG12783 sp902783985 Standard tmRNA". It matches the Rfam family "transfer-messenger RNA". From Rfam's summary of the family: Bacterial tmRNA, also known as 10Sa RNA or SsrA, is named for its dual tRNA and mRNA-like properties. Its role is to liberate the mRNA from a stalled ribosome. To accomplish this part of the tmRNA is used as a reading frame that ends in a translation stop signal. Lineage: Bacteria; Bacillati; Bacillota. RNAcentral also lists the same sequence under 1 other name. The record is from RNAcentral.